CAUACUAAUGCCCAUCCCAGGAAGCAAGCCAAUCAGUAGAAUUAGGUAUGAACUUACAGCUACAACAUCUAAGUAAAAGUUUGGAGGUUUUUGGAUGCACAGCUCAUCAAAAUGCAGCAUAGGUAAUUUUAUAGACACUCAAGGGUUAAAGGUAAGCUUUUCACAUGAUUUUGUCAUCCUGGGUUAUGGCACUUUUUGGCUUAUGCCACUCCACCUGAACGGAACCCCCAAAGUAACCAUGGGACUGCCAGCGCAGUAAAAAUAACAGCGGCCCAAGAAUACUACCCUGUGGAACUCUAGACAAAAUAGGUCUUGGUUCACUAAAGAAGAGCCCAGCCACGGCAACUUGCUGCUGCCUAACUGUAAGGAAAUCUUGAAGUAAUCCUUGUGAUUUACUAAAUUGACAGCAGCACUAAGAUCUGUUUGAGUUACUCUGCACUCAAAACCCCUAUCAAGGUUCCCUUGCAAAUGGCAAGUCAAGUCUAAAGAUAGCAUCACAGGUACCUGACAGCUUCCUAUAUGCAUAUUGACUAUCAGCUAACAAUCCUUUAGAUUCUACAUACUUAUAUAGUGGCUUAAAAAUAAGUUUUUCAGCAACUUUGAAGAGCACAGGGAAAUGGAAAUUGGCCUGUAGUUACUGCAGUGUGCAGAUAUGCCACUCUUUGGAACAGGCACUGUAUUAGUAAGCUUGUGCUCAUCCCCAGAUGCUACUAUAAGAAUCUAUAGAAUCUACUUACCUUGGGAGACAACACUAGAAACUUUCAUGAAAAACAAAGAGGAAACCAUCCAGAUCUUCUCCACAGCAGCUAUCAAGAUUAUCCAGAAUUUUCUUAACAUCCCUGGAAUGAAAUGCUAAUUUUAUAUGAAUAGGUUCAGGAUGGCAAGUAUCAGGGAGAGGGACAUCCUCAGCUGAUUGCUUAGCUUAAAAAGCUCAACAAAGCAGUUCAACUUUUUCCCUGGGGCCAGUAACCAAUCAACCAUGAUCUGUUAGUAGUGGUGGAAUGGAAGACAACUUUGACCCAAAGAUAGAUAAUGCCAAAUUGAUCCACCAUGUAUGAGGUUGAGUAAUUCCUUCAAUUUUUCUCUUCAAGGAAUGACAGUAAUUUCUCUCGGCUGUAUGGUAAUUUUUAUUCGCAGCAUGGCAAUGCUUGAACAGUUUCAUCUCCAAGCGUUGAAUUUGGUCUGUUUGUCAUGGUGGGCUCAUAUACAUGUAGCACCAAACCAAAGCUGGUCAUUUGUUGUAAAUUUUAUGACCUUUCAAGGGACAUUAAAAUAGCCAGCAGCAUUUCAUUUAAUUACUUCUUGGAAUCAGGAUCUAAUAUAGCAUUUGAAAUAUUAAUAUGAAGUGCCUGACAAGCUUCAAUAAUGCAGUCCCAAUUGGCUCUGGGUUUUAGCCUGACUGUUUUUCCAGUGAUGGCAUUAGGAAUAUACUGAUUAACAUGAAUGUCCAUGUCAGUGGCACAGUGAUCAGAAGUUCCUUUAGUAAUAUAUUCACAGACCUUGGACUUGACAAUAGCUAGAACAUCUGUGAAGGUGAGGUCUGAUCUAUUAGCAGAAAUGUGGGUGGUUCCUCAAUUAGCUGGACAAAAUUGGAGGAUAAACAGAACUCAAGAGCAGACUGGCCAUGUUGAUCUGUGGAAUUUGAAUUUAGCCAUUCACUGUGCUUUUUGUAUUACAGUCUCUACAAAUAAUAAAUGAAGCUUUUGACUUAGCCAUACUAAUCAUCUCCAAAUCUCCAAGAGAGUUGUAAAAAGAAUUGCUCAUAUUGGAUUUACUGAAAAUUAGGAAAAAAAUAACUUCAUGGCAACUACAUUCCAAAUUUUUUUUUUGGUGCCUAAGAACCAAAACUUUUUGAAAGGGGGACCCAAAUGUUCUCAUCUGCCAUCAUGAAUAUGAUGGAAUUGUCUAAAAAAACAGUUUCAUUUUGUACUAUGUCAUCUUGAAAGGAUAAUACUAACUCGCAAACUCUUAGCACCCAGCUCAAAGGUUAGGGGUCAUGAUGUUACGGCUAUAUACUUGUAUCUCUGGCCUAAAAAGAAAAGUAUACAUAAAUUUCUUCUGUUAUCAGUUUUUCUUUGUGGAAGUCACUGAAUAGCUUUUAAUGCUUUUAAAUUUAGUGCUUGGCUCAUAAUUCUUUUAAGUUUUUCUCUAUUGGCUCCUUUGUAGCAGAGGGCUCGUUUGUUACUCCCUCUCAAAGGGAGAGGAUGCUCCUGACUGUGACUCAACUUUUCCCUCAUCCUUUGUUCAAUUCUUGUGCAGUGAGGACAGUUGGGGCAUUCACUUCUAUGCUACAGAUGAAAAGGUGGUGUUUUGUUUGACUAUUUAUUUAGUCCUCCGGCAAUACAGGCUAUGGUGUUACUGACUAGAUAUUAGCCUUUUUCAUGGCUGUGGUAGUCCAUAGAACAACAUGACCUCCAGAUCCAGUCAUUCAGUAGUUGCUAACUCCAGGUUGAUAUCUGAACAGGAGCAAGUCUCCUCCCACACAAACAACUGUAAAUUAUUGUUUUAAAACAUAAUUUAUUCUUCUGAUACAAACUAGUCACUUUAUGAGGUCAUUUUCCAUUCUCCUGACCCAAUGGCAUUUGAAGAUUGGUCAGACAACAACUGAUUGAGGGACUUGGGAGCCUCGAUGGUUACAUGUUGAUAGAGAUUAUUUCUCUCUUCAGUUUUUUUAAGCACGUUUUGAAAGGGAGCUCAUGGACCUAAUGACAGUCAUAAAAUUAUGUUUGUACCAAAAAUUCAAUUAUGUUUUUAAAAACUUACUUCAUCAGACAAGAGAACAUGUAAAAUAUGGCUUGCAUAUUAGUUACUCUCAAGUUCUCAGAUUCCAAAAUAACAUUUAAUAACAAGGAAAUGCAUAUGUACUUGGUAUGAUGUAUAAACAUAUAUUUACAAAUCAAAUAUAAAGGAUCACAAUUUUUACAAAAGCAUUUAAUGUAAUAUGUAUGUUCUUGCUUUGUCAGUCACUACGAAAACUUUAUAGAUUUUCACAUUGCAGGAACUGGUCAGAUAGCAAAUACAGUAAAUUACACAUUAAUUUACAGAAUACAUUACUUUAGUUAGUAUAAACACUGAUUGCAGUCUACACAAAUAUAGUAUUACCAAUGUGGAUAAAAAAUUCUGCCUGUAAAGAUAAUACGGUACACAGUAUUGUGAUGAGAAUUUUACAGUGUAUACCUAAGGAAAUUGUCAUUCAUGUACAGGCAGUCCCCCCUUAUUUGUGGGUUCGGUUAUAGGCGAUCUGAUUUUACGUCACUUGUCCAGUGACAAAAAUCGGCGAUAUUCGCGAUACCUAAUGGAAGCACUGAUCACCUAAAACUGCCAAUUAUCGGUUAUCGUCACACCAUUGGAAUGGAAACCCACCGAUAACCGGGGACUGUCUGUAUAUAGAUAAAAUGGAAUUUCCAAGUACUUGUGUAUAAGCUUGGCAAUUGCAUUUGGUAAUGUCUAUGACCAUGUGAGCCCCACAGGCAUUGCCAAUUCUAUUUCCUGUCUUUGUGCUCUUUAUUUAGAUUUGGUGGUCAACUGUAUACUAGUAUACAGUUUGCAAUAUUUGUUAAACCUGGAAUGUUUAUUAAAUUAUAUUUAGUGUAACACAUUCUAAAUUAAUAUGGAAAAAAGUUCAGUCAUCCCAUGUUUUAUCAGUUAAUCAUUCUCUCCAACUUAAAAGCUCAGAAUUUCCUUGAUUGCUGUAAUUACUCAUAGACUUCUUUUGUCUGUCAGUUUUACAAGGCAGCUUUAUCACUGGAUACCUGGAUAAGUACAUGAAAGCUAUUUAUUUGUAAAAUAAACAGAUGUAUGUAUUACUCUUGUGGUCAUUAGGCAAUUAAUGGUUAAGUCAAAGGAGAUGACUGCUCCAUAGUGAUGGACUUAUUUAUGUGAUAUACUAUUGGAGUACUAAAUAAAAAAAAUAAAAAAUGAAAAAAAAUAGAACCUUACUAAAUACUUCUUGUUGCAAAGGUCAGUGUGACUUACCUGUAGAAAAGGUCAGUGUGACUUACCUGUAGAUUGUAAGAAAUAAAAAAAUAUCCAGUGCAUUACUUAUGGUAGUCAUUGCAUAAUCAAUCUUUGUUGGAACAUUUGUUUAGCUAACAGAUUGUAGUUUCAUUCCAUUGUAAUUUUUCUUCUGAGCACUUCAUAAUGUUUACGAAAUGUAAAAAAUUUCACAUCAAUAAAAAUUAUAUUUUUAUAA
Long non-coding RNA from Macrobrachium nipponense, 4192 nucleotides. RefSeq lists it as uncharacterized. The transcript has 2 exons. Lineage: Eukaryota; Metazoa; Arthropoda; Malacostraca; Decapoda; Palaemonidae. The record is from RefSeq and is a predicted model, not a curated record.